CCACAAACCAUCGCGAAUCUUACCCGUACGGUUGCCUCGGCGCUGGCGGUCCGGAAAGGCCCUCGGGCCCUCCCGGAUCCUCGGGUCUCCCGCUCGCGGGAGGCUGCCCGCCGGAGUGCCGAAACUAAACUCUUGAUAUUUUAUGUCUCUCUGAGUAAACUUUUAAAUAAGUCAAAACUUUCAACAACGGAUCUCUUGGUUCUGGCAUCGAUGAAGAACGCAGCGAAAUGCGAUAAGUAAUGUGAAUUGCAGAAUUCAGUGAAUCAUCGAAUCUUUGAACGCACAUUGCGCUCGCCAGUAUUCUGGCGAGCAUGCCUGUUCGAGCGUCAUUUCAACCAUCAAGCUCUGCUUGCGUUGGGGAUCCGCGGCUGUCCGCGGUCCCUCAAAAUCAGUGGCGGGCUCGCUAGUCACACCGAGCGUAGUAACUCUACAGCGCUAUGGUCGUGCGGCGGGUUCUUGCCGUAAAACCCCCCAUUUCUAAGGUUGACCUCGGAUCAGGUAGGAAUACCCGCUGAACUUAAGCAUAUCAA
This 530-nucleotide ribosomal RNA is filed under the name Neurospora crassa. RNAcentral describes it as "eukaryotic LSU rRNA". The stretch from base 176 to 329 matches the Rfam family "5.8S ribosomal RNA". The record is from RNAcentral. Lineage: Eukaryota; Fungi; Ascomycota; Sordariomycetes; Sordariales; Sordariaceae.